Molecule: ribosomal RNA, 492 nt
Filed under: uncultured bacterium
Lineage: Bacteria
Description: partial 16S ribosomal RNA
Rfam family: Bacterial small subunit ribosomal RNA
Source: RNAcentral
GAUGAACGCUAGCUACAGGCUUAACACAUGCAGGUCGAGGGGAAACGACAUCGAAAGCUUGCUUUUGAUGGGCGUCGACCGGCGCACGGGUGAGUAACGCGUAUCCAACCUGCCCACCACUUGGGGAUAACCUUGCGAAAGUAAGACUAAUACCCGAUGAUAUCUCUAUAAGACAUCUGAAAGGGAUUAAAGAUUUAUCGGUGAUGGAUGGGGAUGCGUCUGAUUAGCUUGUUGGCGGGGUAACGGCCCACCAAGGCGACGAUCAGUAGGGGUUCUGAGAGGAAGGUCCCCCACAUUGGAACUGAGACACGGUCCAAACUCCUACGGGAGGCAGCAGUGAGGAAUAUUGGUCAAUGGGCGAGAGCCUGAACCAGCCAAGUAGCGUGCAGGAUGACGGCCCUAUGGGUUGUAAACUGCUUUUAUAAGGGAAUAAAGUGAGUCUCGUGAGACUUUUUGCAUGUACCUUAUGAAUAAGGACCGGCUAAUUCCGUG